GUUGCCUCUUGGCCUUUUGGCUAAGAUCAAGUGUGGUACCUGUUCUUAUUAGUUUAAUAUCUGAUAUGUUGCCUAUCCAACAAUAUAUUAAAUGGAUUUUUGACACCAGGAGAUGAAAUAUAUGCCGAGUAUAUCCCCGAAAAAUGUUUCAAUAUGUCGCUAAACGAAAAUUGUCUGAAUAUUG
This is a small nuclear RNA of Suncus etruscus (white-toothed pygmy shrew), 184 nucleotides long. RefSeq annotates it as U2 spliceosomal RNA. NCBI's taxonomy places the organism in Eukaryota, Metazoa, Chordata, Mammalia, Eulipotyphla, Soricidae. The transcript has a single exon. The record is from RefSeq and is a predicted model, not a curated record.